GAUGAACGCUGGCGGCGUGCCUAAUACAUGCAAGUAGAACGCUGAAGGAGGAGCUUGCUUCUCUGGAUGAGUUGCGAACGGGUGAGUAACGCGUAGGUAACCUGCCUGGUAGCGGGGGAUAACUAUUGGAAACGAUAGCUAAUACCGCAUAAGAGCAGUUGUUGCAUGACAGCUGUUUAAAAGGUGCAAUUGCACCACUACCAGAUGGACCUGCGUUGUAUUAGCUAGUUGGUGAGGUAACGGCUCACCAAGGCGACGAUACAUAGCCGACCUGAGAGGGUGAUCGGCCACACUGGGACUGAGACACGGCCCAGACUCCUACGGGAGGCAGCAGUAGGGAAUCUUCGGCAAUGGGGGCAACCCCGACCGAGCAACGCCGCGUGAGUGAAGAAGGUUUUCGGAUCGUAAAGCUCUGUUGUAAGAGAAGAACGAGUGUGAGAGUGGAAAGUUCACGCUGUGACGGUAUCUUACCAGAAAGGGACGGCUAACUACGUGCCAGCAGCCGCGGUAAUACGUAGGUCCCGAGCGUUAUCCGGAUUUAUUGGGCGUAAAGCGAGCGCAGGCGGUUAGAUAAGUCUGAAGUUAAAGGCUGUGGCUUAACCAUAGUACGCUUUGGAAACUGUUUAACUUGAGUGCAAGAGGGGAGAGUGGAAUUCCAUGUGUAGCGGUGAAAUGCGUAGAUAUAUGGAGGAACACCGGUGGCGAAAGCGGCUCUCUGGCUUGUAACUGACGCUGAGGCUCGAAAGCGUGGGGAGCAAACAGG
Molecule: ribosomal RNA, 763 nt
Filed under: uncultured Streptococcus sp.
Lineage: Bacteria; Bacillati; Bacillota; Bacilli; Lactobacillales; Streptococcaceae
Description: bacterial SSU rRNA
Rfam family: Bacterial small subunit ribosomal RNA
Source: RNAcentral